GACGAACGCUGGCGGCGUGCUUAACACAUGCAAGUCGAACGGUAAGGCUCCAGCUUGCUGGGGUACACGAGUGGCGAACGGGUGAGUAACACGUGGGUGACCUGCCCUGCACUUCGGGAUAAGCCUGGGAAACUGGGUCUAAUACCGGAUAGGACCGCACCGUGAGGGUGUGGUGGAAAGUUCUUUCGGUGUGGGAUGGGCCCGCGGCCUAUCAGCUUGUUGGUGGGGUAAUGGCCUACCAAGGCGGCGACGGGUAGCCGGCCUGAGAGGGUGGACGGCCACAUUGGGACUGAGACACGGCCCAGACUCCUACGGGAGGCAGCAGUGGGGAAUAUUGCACAAUGGGCGGAAGCCUGAUGCAGCGACGCCGCGUGGGGGAUGACAGCCUUCGGGUUGUAAACUCCUUUCACCAUCGACGAAGGGUUUCUGACGGUAGAUGGAGAAGAAGCACCGGCUAACUACGUGCCAGCAGCCGCGGUAAUACGUAGGGUGCGAGCGUUGUCCGGAAUUACUGGGCGUAAAGAGCUCGUAGGUGGUUUGUCGCGUCGUCUGUGAAAUUCCGGGGCUUAACUCCGGGCGUGCAGGCGAUACGGGCAUAACUUGAGUACUGUAGGGGAGACUGGAAUUCCUGGUGUAGCGGUGAAAUGCGCAGAUAUCAGGAGGAACACCGGUGGCGAAGGCGGGUCUCUGGGCAGUAACUGACGCUGAGGAGCGAAAGCAUGGGGAGCGAACAGGAUUAGAUACCCUGGUAGUCCAUGCCGUAAACGGUGGGCGCUAGGUGUGGGUUUCCUUCCACGGGAUCCGUGCCGUAGCUAACGCAUUAAGCGCCCCGCCUGGGGAGUACGGCCGCAAGGCUAAAACUCAAUGGAAUUGACGGGGGCCCGCACAAGCGGCGGAGCAUGUGGAUUAAUUCGAUGCAACGCGAAGAACCUUACCUGGGCUUGACAUAUACAGGAUCGCGCCAGAGAUGGUGCUUCCCUUGUGGCUUGUAUACAGGUGGUGCAUGGUUGUCGUCAGCUCGUGUCGUGAGAUGUUGGGUUAAGUCCCGCAACGAGCGCAACCCUUGUCUUAUGUUGCCAGCACGUUGUGGUGGGGACUCGUAAGAAACUGCCGGGGUUAACUCGGAGGAAGGUGGGGAUGACGUCAAAUCAUCAUGCCCCUUAUGUCCAGGGCUUCACACAUGCUACAAUGGUCGGUACAGUGGGUUGCCAGUCCGUGAGGGCGAGCUAAUCCCGCAAAGCCGGUCUCAGUUCGGAUCGGGGUCUGCAACUCGACCCCGUGAAGUCGGAGUCGCUAGUAAUCGCAGAUCAGCAACGCUGCGGUGAAUACGUUCCCGGGCCU
This 1341-nucleotide ribosomal RNA is filed under the name uncultured bacterium. RNAcentral's name for it is "16S ribosomal RNA". It matches the Rfam family "Bacterial small subunit ribosomal RNA", at positions 28 to 1381 of the family's 1533-position model. The record is from RNAcentral.